This 252-nucleotide long non-coding RNA is filed under the name Brachypodium distachyon (stiff brome). RNAcentral describes it as "long non-coding RNA (BDIS_LNC003442)". The record is from RNAcentral. Lineage: Eukaryota; Viridiplantae; Streptophyta; Magnoliopsida; Poales; Poaceae.
AUAAAUCUCCACCGUUCAUUUGUUGAGGUUUCCAUUUAAAAAGUUGACAGUAAUUUUUUUUUCCUUUUUGUAGAUUGUAAAUUGAAUCGUGAAUUCGUGAUGGGCUUCAGGCUUCAGCCCAUUUGGGGUGACCGAUCCCCUAUGUGUACCGAUCCCCUAUGUGUAUGCUGGUCGCCCUGGCCGCCGGCCGCAACCGUCGUUGAACUCGUAGGCGGACCUAGCAUUCGUGCACCUCGACGGCGAGCACCUUGC